GGGGAUGUGGCUCAGCGGGUAGAGCGCUCGCCUGGCAUGCGUGAAGACCCGGGUUCGAUUCCUCAGUGCCA
This 71-nucleotide transfer RNA is filed under the name Dipodomys ordii (Ord's kangaroo rat). It matches the Rfam family "tRNA". Rfam says of the family: Transfer RNA (tRNA) molecules are approximately 80 nucleotides in length. Their secondary structure includes four short double-helical elements and three loops (D, anti-codon, and T loops). Lineage: Eukaryota; Metazoa; Chordata; Mammalia; Rodentia; Heteromyidae. The record is from Rfam by way of RNAcentral.